This 5077-nucleotide long non-coding RNA is filed under the name Chlamydomonas reinhardtii. RNAcentral describes it as "long non-coding RNA (CREI_LNC000786)". Lineage: Eukaryota; Viridiplantae; Chlorophyta; Chlorophyceae; Chlamydomonadales; Chlamydomonadaceae. The record is from RNAcentral.
GAAGGCCCGCGGACUGCACACGAUGGUGAGGAAAACGGCGAGCUCGUGAGCUACCCCCUUCAGAGACUCGGACCCAAGCGCCUUACGCUCGCAGCAGGUACUCUACAUUACAUUCUCAUACGGUCACAUAGGUGCCGCGACGGCGUUGCUCGCGGUUGCUUUCGGGUGAGUCGGACGCAACCGCAUUCGCUGAUGGCAAGGGCCCGUUGCACAUCCUGGCUCGCCGAGCCCCAGCAACCCCUCAGCAGCUCUUCUUACCUUGCACUAGUGUCCAGAGCUCCGAUGGCUACUAAAUUCAGGUAGUCCUGGAAGGCGAGGUAGAAAUGCUCGGUGUGGGGGCAAGUGCGUCUAGGUCCUGGCUUGCGCUAUGUGGUGAAGCGCUAUGAGCCUUGCUCGAUGCUGUGCCUGGAGCGGGCCGGCCCUUGGUAUUUAUUGCGGGCAGGAGUCGGACCAGUAGUGGCCCCCGUACGGCUAACCGACGAAAAGGCUGGCGCGAGGCAGGGGGAACGCGAAUGGGAGGGCGUAACUCACGCCAACGCUACAUAUCCAUGCUAGAGUAUUAUGCACACAACCAGUUUGACUGCAUUGUGCGGCUGUGCCCGCUGGUCGCGGCUAUGAUAACUUCGAGGAGGCUACUACACUGUCUGCAGCAUAAUGAUAUGUAGCUGCAUAGGCAAAUCGUGCGCCUGCGGUCGCUUGCCUGCCGAAGCGGGGACGCCGGGCAUUCGCAGUUGUAAUGACCUUUCGAUAGAAGCAGAAACCGCGCCUGCUAAAAGCAUGUACAGUACAUGUCCAGGAACGCAUUGCUUGCUGCGCCGCACUGCACCUUUGCCUGAAGGGCCUUCCGUGGCGGGGAAAUUUGGAAAGUCGUUGGUCCUUGGCCUCGAUCUCAGCGGUGGGUCUAUCCCUGCCCCCGUGACUCGGUACCGACACACGGCCGCUGCAGCUUACUUCCCUAGGCGGUGGACACAGUGGUGCGGGCUGCUGGGGUGGGCAGCACCGUCACAGGGAGGUUUAGGAGGUUUAGCUUACCGCAUAUUCGGCAUGAAAGAGCUGGUCACGGCACGAAAUCUGCAAACCGUUGUGCGCGCGUCCAGGAUAUUUACUCGCAGUUAAAACCGGGUCCGGGUGAAUACGGGGCCAGCUUUCAAUACCCGCACCCCUGGCCAUGGGCAAGGGUCAGGCCACCGGUUUCGGCACGCGCAACCUCGCCUCCUGUAUUGCCAGGACAACGUUGCUGCGCGGGGACCCGCGCCGAAUGGCGCACCCCACCACAGCCUACCCAGCCGCCCCCGUCCCCGCAGCCGCCCCCGCCACUGGCCCAGCCGCGCCGCCCACCCACCCAGCCCCCGGCCCCUACCCCGCCCACGCCCACNNNNNNNNNNNNNNNNNNNNNNNNNNNNNNNNNNNNNNNNNNNNNNNNNNNNNNNNNNNNNNNNNNNNNNNNNNNNNNNNNNNNNNNNNNNNNNNNNNNNCAGCGUUUGUGUUUCCAGAGUCGGGCUUCCUGGUGUCGCACGGCAUGCAUCGCACGCGCCCAUGCCAACCGCAGUGCGACCGGGAUGAGCCAUGCAGCGAUCGCGCUGUCGUUACUUCCUCGGCCGCCCGGCGCACUUGCUCAUUUAACCGCAUCCAUCACUUCGCCAUACUUAGUGUUCUUCGUUUAUCCACCCAACGCAGCGCACAGCCACAGCCCGCUGCCCGACUCGCGCACCAUGUCCUCGCGGUUGUUUUGGGGGUCACGUUGCUUGCCUCGCGCCUAGCGCCAUAGCUUUUACGCGGCAGUGCAUCACGCCUCCUGUCCCUCCCUCCCUCCCAUACAUGUCGUGCUGGGCACCGGUGGCGCUGGUGUUCUCCAGGUUGGUUUCGGGCGCAUCCUUUCUGGUAGUCCCAAGCAACGCCCGGCCGCCGUCGUCCAGCCCAGCCAUCCCAAUACAGCAGCCGCUUUCUGUCAGCCAGCCAUGGGCGCGACCGUCCACAGCGUUUACCGUCGGUUACGAGGUAACAUGUGAAUUCGCAACUUGCGCUACUGACUGCCUACUCUCGUGCCACCUGCAAGCCCACUCCGCCGUCCGCUCUGGUCUACGUACGCAUGCGUUCCCACCACACUCGUCAUUAACGUUGUACCGUGCAUUGUACUGCACAAGGUCAGGGUCUGUCAGUACCCUUUGUCAGGUCGCUGACUGAUGCGGACUGGCAGAAGUUGUGUCCACAGCCUGGGAUUUUCCUGACGCUAGAGCGACGGAAGAGCUGGACAGAGAAAGCCUUGCAACGGAUGCCAUAUCCCACUGAUCCCACUCCCGGCUCGGCAAGCGCGCGCACGGCAAACCCUUUCUGUUCUAUGAGCCUGUUACAUGUAUGCUUUCACUACCGUAAUGCAUUGCGGACUGUUUACGUAGGCUUCAUGUGCAGUCAGCCGCAAAGACGGCAUCAUCAUUUGAAUAUAUGAUGCCGCACAACCAUGCAUAUCGUGCCAGUGUCAUGCGCCCUCGCUUACUCAACCUUGCCUGCAUUCAAGUGACUGCUUGUAGCUAAUGAGACCUCUGCCCACUCGUGGGACAGCGGCCCGUUAAGUUUCUUGGAAUACGGUAUUGGCGGUGCAAUCAACACGCCAAUGGCUAUGCUAGCAGUCAUCACCGCUGUGUCAACCACUUGGGAGUCGUAGGAAAAGCUAGCCUGUCCUCCUUUGGAUAGUGUCAGCACACCAAACUACCAAUACGCCCCUGCCUUACCAUUCAGUAACACACUCUGCCUAGCACGCAAUCAGUGACACAGGAGCAGAGCAAUCAUGCGGCCGACCUAAUAACUAACUACCGUAUCUACCUCUGGCCUACCUAUGCCUAGACGACUAAGUACAGCACAUGACGACACGAGCUUCCUGGGCUACGGUAUUACCGGCGCCCGCUGACUGCCACGAACGUGUCCAGCGGGCAGCACGUCUUGUCCUCUGAGAACAUGGCGUAGUAGCAGCGGCCCUGGGCGCUGCGCGCGCAGAACGACUGCAGCGUGGGGCAGGUGCUCUUGGCAUUGAGCUCAAUGCACACCUCGCGACCUGCCGAAGGCACGGACGCCGCGGCCAUGUUGAGUGCGGGGAUCUUGAACGUGCCCUUCGGCGCCCACUGCUGGUCCACCUUGACGCCAUCUAGGUACACCGCCUUGACGCUGCUGCGGCACGCGUCCUUGCUCCACCACUCCACCUUGGACAGGCGCUGGGCGCAGCACUUGUUGCUGGGGUCGAUGCAGUCGGUGGUGUAGAGCGUGAGGCAGUACAUCUUGUUGGGGCCCGACGCCGCCUUCUUCACCACGGGCGUGGGGUCAAAGGUGAAGGGCACGUUGCCGACGGUGCGGUUGCACUCGCAGAAGGGGAAGCUGACGGGCACGGGCGGCGGCGGGCGGCGGAUGGCGGGGGUGAGAGGGUUCAUGGGCGGCUCAGGGCUGGGGGGCAGGGGCGGCUCGGGCGAGGGCGGCGCGGGGCUGGGAGGCGCAGGCGAGGGCGGGCGGGGAGACGGAGGAGGCGGAGAGGGAGGCCGGGGCGAGGGAGGCGCAGGCGAAGGCGGGCGAGGAGACGGAGGAGGCGGAGAGGGAGGAGGAGGGCUAGGAGGAGGAGGCGAGGGAGGAGGCGGGCUCGGGGGAGGGGGCGACGGAGGAGGAGGGCUGGGAGGCUUGGGGGAAGGAGGCUGGGGGCUGGGAGGGCGCGGGCUGGGGGGCGCCGGGCUGGGCGGCUUGGGCGAAGGAGGCGCAGGAGAAGGAGGGCGUGGCGAAGGAGGAGGAGGUGAGGGAGGAGGUGGCGAGGGAGGAGGAGGAGAGGGAGGAGGAGGGCUAGGAGGAGGAGGCGAGGGAGGGGGAGGAGACGGGGGAGGAGGCGACGGAGGAGGGGGGCUGGGAGGGCGAGGGGAAGGAGGCUGGGGGCUGGGGGGCUUGGGAGACGGGGGCGCUGGGGAAGGAGGGCGAGGAGAGGGAGGGGGAGGAGAGGGAGGAGGGGGAGACGGCGGGGGCGGGCUGGGAGGAGGGGGAGAAGGAGGAGGCGGAGGAGGGGGGCUGGGAGGAGGGGGAGGCGGGGGGUUGGGCGGCUGGGGCGAGGGCGGCGGGGGCAUGAAGCCCAGCAUCUGCACAGGACAGCAGUUGCAGGUGCCGCUCUGCACCAGCGCAGUCUGGCAGAAGCCGUUGCCCACGGUACAGAGGGUGUCCAUGGUGGGGCAGGCGCCGCCCAGCUUCAUGCACACCACGGCGCCCUCGGCGGUGGCGAGUGUGAGGUUGAGGCCGGUCAGCUUCAUGACGGCUUUGUUGGAGUUAGAGGGGCCGUACGGGUCAAACGUGGGCGCCAGCGCGGGGCGACCGUUGACCGUCACGCCCGUCACCGCAAACUUGCACUGAGCGUUAAUGUCCAGCUCAAUCUUGUACAGGUCGAUCUUCUUGUCACAGCAGGGCGAUCCGGGCUUAGCGCAUGGCACCACGCGCGUGGUCAUGCACACGCGGUUGCCGGCGACGGUGUAGGGCAUGUCCAGCCGGAAUCGCGACUGCUGCGGGUCACGCGUGCAGCUGUAGGGCGGGAAGGUCUGGCCGAGCGCGAGGCCUGCCGCCAGCACUAGCGCCAGCAAUGCUGACGCUCUCAUGUUUGCGAGUGGAAGCAACUGCAGGCAGAAGGAGUGACAGAAGGGAAGGGAGGAGCGGCGGUUAGCGCAAUGGAAGGCCCGCGGACUGCACACGAUGGUGAGGAAAACGGCGAGCUCGUAAGCUACCCCCUUCAGAGACUCGGACCCAAGCGCCUUACGCUCGCAGCAGGUACUCUACAUUACAUUCUCAUACGGUCACAUAGGUGCCGCGACGGCGUUGCUCGCGGUUGCUUUCGGGUGAGUCGGACGCAACCGCAUUCGCUGAUGGCAAGGGCCCGUUGCACAUCCUGGCUCGCCGAGCCCCAGCAACCCCUCAGCAGCUCUUCUUACCUUGCACUAGUGUCCAGAGCUCCGAUGGCUACUAAAUUCAGGUAGUCCUGGAAGGCGAGGUAGAAAUGCUCGGUGUGGGGGCAAGUGCGUCUAGGUCCUGGCUUGCGCUAUGUGGUGAAGCGCUAUGAGCCUUGCUC